ACUUGUCUAGCUUAGUUGGUAGAGCACAAGGCUUUUAACCUUGUGGUUGUGUGUUCAAGCCCCACGAUAUGCA
RNAcentral lists this transfer RNA (73 nucleotides) under Zea mays. It matches the Rfam family "tRNA". From Rfam's summary of the family: Transfer RNA (tRNA) molecules are approximately 80 nucleotides in length. Lineage: Eukaryota; Viridiplantae; Streptophyta; Magnoliopsida; Poales; Poaceae. The record is from Rfam by way of RNAcentral.